This 497-nucleotide ribosomal RNA is filed under the name uncultured bacterium. RNAcentral describes it as "partial 16S ribosomal RNA". It matches the Rfam family "Bacterial small subunit ribosomal RNA", at positions 28 to 507 of the family's 1533-position model. The record is from RNAcentral.
GAUGAACGCUGGCGGCGUGCCUAAUACAUGCAAGUCGAGCGAACAGACGAGUAGGUUGCUCCACGGACGUUAGAGGCGGACGGGUGAGUAACACGUGGAUAACCUCCCUAGAAGACUGGGAUAAAUUCGGGAAACCGGAGCUAAUACCGGAUAAUAUAUUGAACCGCAUGGUUCAAUAGUGAAAGACGGUUUUGCUGUCACUUAUAGAUGGAUCCGCGCCGCAUUAGCUAGUUGGUAAGGUAACGGCUUACCAAGGCAACGAUGCGUAGCAGACCUGAGAGGGUGAUCGGCCACACUGGAACUGAGACACGGUCCAGACUCCUACGGGAGGCAGCAGUAGGGAAUCUUCGGCAAUGGGCGAAAGCCUGACGGAGCCACGCCGCGUGAGUGAUGAAGGUCUUCGGAUCGUAAACCGCUGUUAUUAGGGAAGAACAAAUGUGUAAGUAACUAUGCACGUCUUGACGGUACCGAAUCAGAAAGCCACGGCUAACUACGUG